CUGGCUCAGGAUUAACGCUGGCGGCGUGCCUAAUACAUGCAAGUCGAAUGGUAGCAAUACCAUGGCGAACGGGUGAGUAACACGUAGGUAACCUGUCUUUAAGACGAGGAUAACCGAUGGAAACGUCGGAUAAUACUCGAUAGGUGAUUUGAGGGCAUCUUUGAAUCAUUAAAGAUUUAUCACUUAGAGAGGGGCCUGCGGCGCAUUAGCUAGAUGGCGGUGUAAUGGACCACCAUGGCGAUGAUGC
This 247-nucleotide ribosomal RNA is filed under the name Anaeroplasma bactoclasticum. RNAcentral describes it as "partial 16S ribosomal RNA". It matches the Rfam family "Bacterial small subunit ribosomal RNA", at positions 19 to 282 of the family's 1533-position model. The record is from RNAcentral. Lineage: Bacteria; Bacillati; Mycoplasmatota; Mollicutes; Anaeroplasmatales; Anaeroplasmataceae.